Long non-coding RNA from Orcinus orca (killer whale), 598 nucleotides. RefSeq lists it as uncharacterized. NCBI's taxonomy places the organism in Eukaryota, Metazoa, Chordata, Mammalia, Artiodactyla, Delphinidae. The record is from RefSeq and is a predicted model, not a curated record. The transcript has 3 exons.
GUCCAUUCUCUAGUAGGUCUGCAUCUUUAUUCCCAUCUUGCCCCUAGGUUCUUCAGUACUAUUUUUUUUUUUUGAUUACAUACAUAUGUGUUAGCAUACGGUAUUUGUUUUUCUCUUUCUGACUUACUUCACUCUGUAUGACAGACUCUAGGUCCAUCCACCUCACUACAAAUAACUCAAUUUCAUUUCUUUUUAUGGCUGAGUAAUAUUCCAUUGUAUAUAUGUGCCACAUCUUCUUUAUCCAUUCAUCCAAUGAUGGACACAGGUUGUUUCCAUCUCCGGGCUAUUGUAAAUAGAGCUGCAAUGAACAUUUUGGUGCAUGACUCUUUUUGAAUUAUGCUUUUCUCAGGGUAUAUGCCCAGUAGUGGGAUUCCUGGGUCAGAUGGUAGUUCUAUUUUUAGUUUUUUGAGGAACCUCCAUAGAGUUCUCCAUAGUGGCUGUAUCAAUUUACAUUCCCACCGACAGUGCAAGAGGGUUCCCUUUUCUCCACACCCUCUCCAGCAUUUAUUGUUUGUAGAUUUUUUGAUGAGGGCCAUUCUGACUGGUGUGAGGUGAUACCUCAUUGUAGUUUUGAUAUGCAUUUCUCUAAUGAUUAGUG